GGGGGGGGGGGGGGGGGGGGGGGGGGCGGGCGGGGCGGGGGGGGGGGCCCGGGCGGGGGGGGGGGAGUGGCGAGCGGGGGAGUAACACGUGAGUAACCGGCCCACAACUUUGGGAUAACGCUCGGAAACUGGUGCGAAUACUGGAUAUGUGCUCCUGCUGCAUGGUGGGGGUUGGAAAGCUCCGGCGGUUGUGGAUGGACUCGCGGCCUAUCAGCUUGGUGGUGGGGUAGUGGCCUACCAAGGCGGCGCCGGGGAGCCGGCCUGAGAGGGUGACCGGCCACAUUGGGACUGAGAUACGGCCCAGACGCCUACGGGAGGCAGCAGUGGGGAAUAUUGCACAAUGGGCGCAAGCCGGAUGCAGCAACGCCGCGGGCGGGAUGACGGGCUUCGGGUUGGAAACCGCUUUCAGCAGGGACGAAGCUUUUUGUGACGGUACCUGCAGAAGAAGCACCGGCUAACUACGUG
This 465-nucleotide ribosomal RNA is filed under the name uncultured bacterium. RNAcentral's name for it is "partial 16S ribosomal RNA". It matches the Rfam family "Bacterial small subunit ribosomal RNA", at positions 38 to 507 of the family's 1533-position model. The record is from RNAcentral.